GUUUGUGUUUGAUUCCAAUUUUUAUAUUUAGUGUUUAGUUUUACUUCUACUUCCUCUGUUAUAAUUUUGAAUGCCUGUUCUUCGAUGGCUGUUUUUCUGUUUUCACUUUCAUUUGACGGUUUCGUUUCGUAUUCUGGUGUUGGUGUUUGAUUAGCAUUUUUUAGGCUUCAUUCGUUUAUUUUCGUUUGAUAUUACAUGGUUUCCAUAAAUGUUAAUUUGUUACUAACUUUUCUGCUUAUCGACGAAGUGCAUUAAUCUGUUUGCUUACCUUCUAAGCCUACUGUAAGUUUCCUAGAUCUCUGUGAUUGAAGCUUGUGCUAUUUUGUGUUAUUCUUUACAUAACUAUUUCUGCUACAGGCUAGAAGAUUCAAUACUUUUGUCGGUGAAUCUAUUUUAUAAACAAAAUUCUAUCGACUAUCACUAUAGUGUGAGUGUGAUUUAUCCAUGGUGAGAUGGGGCUAUAUAGAAAGUGACAUUUGACAAUCAAUGUUGGUGCAUAGGCAAGAUGUGGAACAACUAUAGACAUGGUGUUGCAGUUGUUAGAUACAUCACACUCAAACGAUUUAAAACACUUUUUAAAAAAGUAUAACAUACUUUAGAUGCUAAGGAAUCAGGAAAAUGGAGUUAUGUCCAGGCUGGUUGUAGCUGUCUGUGACUACCUCUAUUGUGUUUUUCUGAGCUACCUCAAGACAAUCCAUGAAGGGUUACAAGAAAUUGUUGGAUUAUUCCCUUGCAAUUAGGUACUUUAUUAGAGAUUAUUCAGACUCUUCUAGGACUAGAACAAAUGCAAAUGGAUGAAAUCAGGAUUUUAGGUUGCAACACUCUCACAAUUGUAUUAAAACUGAUUGUCUCAAACUAUAUUGGAAAAAGAAGGAACUAGAAUUUGAAUAACUAUCAAAGUUGAAAAAUAUAUGAAGGUGAAAGUUAAGGGAAAAGAAGGGAGAGCUUCAAAAAACAGUGUCCCUACUUAAAAGCUCUUGCUUUCUGUAAAAAUGAGAGGUAUAAUGGCACAGAGGAAUACAUUUGGUGGUGAUAGUCUUUCGGAUCUAACAUGGCUUCAUGUGAAUAAAUUUUCACUUUCAUUGCAAC
Long non-coding RNA from Vicia villosa (hairy vetch), 1089 nucleotides. RefSeq lists it as uncharacterized. The transcript is spliced from 4 exons. NCBI's taxonomy places the organism in Eukaryota, Viridiplantae, Streptophyta, Magnoliopsida, Fabales, Fabaceae. The record is from RefSeq and is a predicted model, not a curated record.